CGAAAACGAAUUCUCUCUUGAGUGGAUCCUGAGUACGACGGAGCACGUGAAAUUCCGUCGGAAUCUGGGAGGACCAUCUCCUAAGGCUAAAUACUCUCUAGUGACCGAUAGUGAACCAGUACCGUGAGGGAAAGGUGAAAAGUACCCCGGAAGGGGAGUGAAAGAGAACUUGAAACCGUGUGCUUACAAGUAGUCAGAGCCCGUUAAUGGGUGAUGGCGUGCCUUUUGUAGAAUGAACCGGCGAGUUACGAUCUGAUGCAAGGUUAAGCAGAAAAUGUGGAGCCGUAGCGAAAGCGAGUCUGAAUAGGGCGAAUGAGUAUUUGGUCGUAGACCCGAAACCAGGUGAUCUACCCUUGGUCAGGUUGAAGUUCAGGUAACACUGAAUGGAGGACCGAACCGACUUACGUUGAAAAGUGAGCGGAUGAACUGAGGGUAGCGGAGAAAUUCCAAUCGAACUUGGAGAUAGCUGGUUCUCUCCGAAAUAGCUUUAGGGCUAGCCUCAAGUGAUGAUUAUUGGAGGUAGAGCACUGUUUGGACGAG
Molecule: ribosomal RNA, 540 nt
Filed under: Staphylococcus pseudintermedius
Lineage: Bacteria; Bacillati; Bacillota; Bacilli; Caryophanales; Staphylococcaceae
Description: partial 23S ribosomal RNA
Rfam family: Bacterial large subunit ribosomal RNA
Source: RNAcentral